Long non-coding RNA from Lycium ferocissimum, 926 nucleotides. RefSeq lists it as uncharacterized. NCBI's taxonomy places the organism in Eukaryota, Viridiplantae, Streptophyta, Magnoliopsida, Solanales, Solanaceae. The transcript has 3 exons. The record is from RefSeq and is a predicted model, not a curated record.
AAGAUGUAAAUAUCUCAAGAUGAAAUACAGGUUAUUCUCAAUUUUGUUGGCCAGACGAGGAGUCCAAUGGAAUAGAAGGACUAAUAGAGUAGUGUUUGCCCAUGAAGGGGUGUGGCUAUCAUAUGCCAUGGAACAACCAGGGGCACGCCUAUUUCGUUACUACGGCAUUCAGCCAAGGCUUUUUGAUGCCAUGCGUGACGUCUUUGAAACCGGAGUUUCAAUAGAUGGAAGAGCAUUGUGAUACAAGUUUCUUCUUAAGCCAAAGGUGUUUUACAAUUAUGCAGUACUGUCUGCCAGGGUUACAUCCUUAAUCAUAUUCAGUCCAGUCUAAACACUAUUUACUGUUACUUUUCAUAUGAGUUGAAUUAUAACAUCAGCUGAAUCUUUUAUGCAAAGGUUGAGAUUACACCAUUUUUCUUUGAUAAGUUUCCUGUUAUAAUUUUUCAACGGAUAAAUAAAUGACCAAAUCACUACAUCCAAAGGUGUGGCAUAUAAGCCAAUGAAGUUGGUGAAAACCAAGGACGAUCUAGUUCACUUGUGCUGACGGAAGGUAGCAAGUACCCGAACACCACGUUAUUAAAAAAAGGUCAAAUUGCCAUUACUUGUCUUUUAACAUGCUUUGAUAAUAUAUUUGCCUAGCAGUAGGCAGGGCCGGAGCCAGGUGGGAGCAAGGGGGUUCAUCCGAACCCCUUUCGGCGUAAGUUAAAAUUAUUUUUAUGUAUAUAGUAGAUAUUGAAUCCCCUUUGCUUCUUCGUGUGUUUACAUGAGGGAAUCUAUGUAUUACUUUUAUGUAGGAUAGAAGGUGGAAUAACUAAAUCCUGCAUAACAUAAUAAUAUAUAAAUUCCCUUAUAAAUAAUCCCUGUAUUACUAAUACGUGCAAUAACUCUAACCAACUACCAAACGACAAUAUAUAGGAUAACUUGAU